GACGAACGCUGGCGGCGUGCUUAACACAUGCAAGUCGAGCGGUAAGGCCCUUUCGGGGGUACACGAGCGGCGAACGGGUGAGUAACACGUGGGUGACCUGCCCUCAGCUCUGGGAUAAGCCUGGGAAACCGGGUCUAAUACUGGAUAUGACUCCAUGACGCAUGUUGUGGGGUGGAAAGCCUUGUGCGGCUGAGGAUGGGCCCGCGGCCUAUCAGCUUGUUGGUGGGGUGANGGCCUACCAAGGCGACGACGGGUAGCCGGCCUGAGAGGGCGACCGGCCACACUGGGACUGAGACACGGGCCCAGACUCCUACGGGAGGCAGCAGUGGGGAAUCUUGCGCAAGUGGGACGAAAGCCUGACGCAGCGACGCCGCGUGAGGGAUGACGGCCU
Molecule: ribosomal RNA, 391 nt
Filed under: uncultured bacterium
Lineage: Bacteria
Description: bacterial SSU rRNA
Rfam family: Bacterial small subunit ribosomal RNA
Source: RNAcentral